AGUAACACGUAGGUAAUCUACCUUUGGGUGGGGAAUAACUCAGGGAAACUUGAGCUAAUACCGCAUAAUGCAGCGGCACCUUAUGGUGACAGUUGUUAAAGGAGCAAUCCGCCUAAAGAGGAGCCUGCGGCAGAUUAGGUAGUUGGUAAGGUAAUGGCUUACCAAGCCUGCGAUCUGUAACCGACCUGAGAGGGUGGUCGGUCACACUGACACUGAAUAACGGGUCAG
RNAcentral lists this ribosomal RNA (228 nucleotides) under uncultured bacterium. RNAcentral's name for it is "partial 16S ribosomal RNA". It matches the Rfam family "Bacterial small subunit ribosomal RNA", at positions 109 to 334 of the family's 1533-position model. The record is from RNAcentral.